Molecule: long non-coding RNA, 1096 nt
Organism: Beta vulgaris subsp. vulgaris (sugar beet)
Lineage: Eukaryota; Viridiplantae; Streptophyta; Magnoliopsida; Caryophyllales; Amaranthaceae
Exons: 4
Source: RefSeq, a predicted model, not a curated record
CCACCUGUUUGUGUUUACAAUUCAGAACAUGUGAACUUCAUCAGUGACACCACAUCAGCUUAGAAACCUCUGCUUGAACUUGAACUGAGACUUCUAGAAACAUUUCUCAGGCUUUUGGAUGCAAAUAUUGCACUGAUCAUAUAUUAAAUGGUUGUAAUUGUAUGUGAUGUGUACCUUGAUGGUUCAACCUCAACAAGUUCUAAUAGUGACCCAUUCUCUGUGCAGAAGUAAAUUCUCCUAAAGUAAGCACAAAUUUUGUCAGUCUUUUCUGAUUAUGGAAGAUGUUAUGUUCAUCCAGACUAUAUUACUCAGACUCUUCCUCUUACCACAAGCACCCAUGUUGAAUCCUCAACACUCCGUUAUAGUGUGGUCAACUGAAGCUUCAAUCUUUGUCCAAACUAGUUGUGAAUUUUCGAUCAGCUGCAUCUGAAAAAGGAAAAUUGUUAAUCAUGCUGGAAUUAAGAACAACCUUAUGAAAAAUGUUAAUUACUUAAUUGUUCUCCACAGUACACGAGAAGUUUACCUGAUAAAGAUACCCUGCUUCAGAAAGGGCAAGAAUAGUCUGAUUGACAAAAAACACAGAUAUUGCAGGCUCAACAGAUGCAGGCAAAUCAUGGGGAGCAAUCACCCAUUGAACUCCAUUCCAGAAUCUCUCAUAGAUCGAACCACUCUCACCGGUGAUCCAGAUUGAUGCAUCAGACAUUUUUGUCAAAGAAACGCGCUUCCUCAAAGGUACCCAACUGUCUGACUUCUCAUCAAACUGAAACAACCCAUUGAUCUUUCGCCUGGGAGGACUCGUGACAGACCCGAAACCAGUAAACCAAGUUAGUGACAAGCUGCUAACUAAGAUGAUGGACACCAAAUAUGUAUCUGACAUGUUGGAUAUGCAUGAAACAUUCAGGAAACAGGUUUAAAAAAAUUCUAAGACCAAUCCUACAGAAAGAAGGAUAUUUUUCUGAUAGACAAACAGGUAUCUGAAUUGUUAGUUGUUCUUAUGGUUAUGGGGGGUGACCCAUAUGAUAUGUGUUGUCCCUGGCAGAAAUGGUCCAAGCUGAAUAUUUUUUGAAAGCUUAUAUACUUCCUCCGUUUCUUUUUA